This 508-nucleotide ribosomal RNA is filed under the name uncultured bacterium. RNAcentral describes it as "partial 16S ribosomal RNA". It matches the Rfam family "Bacterial small subunit ribosomal RNA", at positions 31 to 523 of the family's 1533-position model. The record is from RNAcentral.
AUAGAACGCUGGCGGCAGGCCUAACACAUGCAAGUCGAGCGGCAGCGGGAAAGUAGCUUGCUACUUUUGCCGGCGAGCGGCGGACGGGUGAGUAAUGCCUGGGAAAUUGCCCAGUCGAGGGGGAUAACAGUUGGAAACGACUGCUAAUACCGCAUACGCCCUACGGGGGAAAGCAGGGGACCUUCGGGCCUUGCGCGAUUGGAUAUGCCCAGGUGGGAUUAGCUAGUUGGUGAGGUAAUGGCUCACCAAGGCGACGGUCCCUAGCUGGUCUGAGAGGAUGAUCAGCCACACUGGAACUGAGACACGGUCCAGACUCCUACGGGAGGCAGCAGUGGGGAAUAUUGCACAAUGGGGGAAACCCUGAUGCAGACAUGCCGCGUGUGUGAAGAAGGCCUUCGGGUUGUAAAGCACUUUCAGCGAGGAGGAAAGGUUGAUGCCUAAUACGUAUCAACUGUGACGUUACUCGCAGAAGAAGCACCGGCUAACUCCGUGCCAGCCGCCGCCGUAA